GGGGGAAAAAUUAAUAAUUUAUAAUUAUAAUAAAAAAAAUUUUAAUAUUAAAAAUAUAUGGGGGUUAAAGUAUUUUUAAUAGAAAAAAUUUUUAAAUUUAUAGUUUAAUAGUAUUGUAAAAGAAAUUUGAAAUAAUAGUGAAAAUAGAAAUUAAUAAAAAGUAAAUUUUAUUUAUUGUAUCUUGUGUAUCAGAGUUUAUUAAUAAAAAUUUAAAUAAUAAAAUUCUCGAAUUUAAAAGAGUUAAUUAAUUAAAAAAUUUAUUGUUUUAUAAAUAUUUUAAAUAAUUAAUUAGAAAUGAAAUGUUAAUCGUUUUUAAAUAUAUCUAGUUUUUUUAGAAAAAAAUUUAAUUUUUAAUUAAAUAAAAAAUUUAUUUAUUAGUUAAAUAAAUUUUUUAUUUAAUUUAAUAUUUUAAGGGAUAAGCUUUAAAUUAAAUUUUUAUAAAAAUAAUAAAAAAUUGAAAAUUUUAUAAUUUAUAUUGUUAAUAAAUUUUAUUUUAUUAUAAAUAAUUUCAUAAAAUUUAAAAUUUAAUAAAAAUUUAAUUUUUUAUAAAAAAAUAUUUUUUAAUAAAUAAAAAAUAGUUAUAAUGAUAAAAUUAGUAUAUAAAAUGUAUUUAAAAUAAUUUAAAAGUGUAAAAUAUAAAUUUAUGUUUAAUUAUUUUAAAGGAACUCGACAAAAUUAUAUAUAUAUAUGUAUAUAUAUAUAUAUAUAUUCACCUGUUUAUCAAAAACAUGUCUUUUUGAAAUUAAUUUAAAGUCUAAUCUGCCCACUGAUAAAAAUUGAAGGGCUGCAGUAUAUUGACUGUACAAAGGUAGCAUAAUCAUUAGUCUCUUAAUUGGUGACUUGUAUGAAGGAUUGGAUGAAAUAUAAAUUGUCUCUAAUAUAUAUAAUUGAAUUUAAUUUUUUAAUUAAAAAGUUAAAAUAUAUUAAAAAGACGAGAAGACCCUAUAGAGUUUUAUAUAUUUUUUAUUUAAAAUUAUAAAUUUUGUGAUGAAUUUUAAUUAGUGGGUAUAUUUUAUUGGGGUGAUAUAAAAAUUUAUUUAACUUUUUUUAAAAUUUUACAUAAAUAAGUGAUUUUUUGAUCCAAUAUUAUUGAUUAUAAGAAAAAAUUACCUUAGGGAUAACAGCGUAAUUUUUUUUUUUAGUACAAAUAAAAAAAAGAGUUUGCGACCUCGAUGUUGGAUUAAGAUAAAAUUUAAAUGCAAAAGUUUAAAAUUUUGAUCUGUUCGAUCAUUAAAAUCUUACAUGAUCUGAGUUCAAACCGGUGUAAGCCAGGUUGGUUUCUAUCUUUUAAAAAUUUUAAUGUUUUAGUACGAAAGGAUCAAAUAUUAUAAUUAAAUUAAUUUUAUUUGAAUAUUACUAAAUUAUAAUUAAAUUUAUAA
RNAcentral lists this ribosomal RNA (1379 nucleotides) under Sphinx morio (larch hawk moth). Its description in RNAcentral is "16S ribosomal RNA". The record is from RNAcentral. Lineage: Eukaryota; Metazoa; Arthropoda; Insecta; Lepidoptera; Sphingidae.